GGAGGCAUAGCUCAGCUGGUUAGAGCGUUCGGUUCACAUCCGAGUGUUAUUGGGUUCGUGUCCCCAUGUCUCCACCA
Molecule: transfer RNA, 77 nt
Filed under: Clostridia bacterium
Lineage: Bacteria; Bacillati; Bacillota; Clostridia
Description: tRNA-Val
Rfam family: tRNA
About the family: Transfer RNA (tRNA) molecules are approximately 80 nucleotides in length.
Source: RNAcentral